Molecule: ribosomal RNA, 445 nt
Filed under: uncultured bacterium
Lineage: Bacteria
Description: bacterial SSU rRNA
Rfam family: Bacterial small subunit ribosomal RNA
Source: RNAcentral
GUGAGGAAUAUUGGUCAAUGGUCGCAAGACUGAACCAGUCAUGCCGCGUGCAGGAAGACGGUCCUAUGGAUUGUAAACUGCUUUUAUACAGGAAGAAACCCUCCCACGUGUGGGAGCUUGACGGUACUGUAGGAAUAAGGAUCGGCUAACUCCGUGCCAGCAGCCGCGGUAAUACGGAGGAUCCAAGCGUUAUCCGGAAUCAUUGGGUUUAAAGGGUCCGUAGGCGGUCUUAUAAGUCAGUGGUGAAAGCCCAUCGCUCAACGAUGGAACUGCCAUUGAUACUGUAGGACUUGAAUGCUUAGGAAGUAACUAGAAUAUGUAGUGUAGCGGUGAAAUGCUUAGAUAUUACAUGGAAUACCAAUUGCGAAGGCAGGUUACUACUAAGUGAUUGACGCUGAUGGACGAAAGCGUGGGGAGCGAACAGGAUUAGAAACCCGAGUAGUCC